CCGAGCUCGUUCUCCCUCCUCCGGCCACCAAUCGACGAGAUUCUUCUUCCUAUCUCUUCGCCUCACUCCCAUGUAGCACCCUGUGAAGUUUCACUAUGUGGGUAGACCUGUGCACGACGCUACAAGGCCGAGAAGUCACACGGUGGAGCUGCAAAUCGCCUUGAUCGGAGUCGGAGAUUCCGGCCACCUUUGCCGGUGUUUCUUGAGGGCUUUUGAAGCCCAUAGGACGUUGAUGCUUCUCCCAAAGCGGCUUGGGACGAUUUCACUCGUGGAGGUCG
Molecule: long non-coding RNA, 278 nt
Filed under: Rosa chinensis
Lineage: Eukaryota; Viridiplantae; Streptophyta; Magnoliopsida; Rosales; Rosaceae
Description: sRNA RchiOBHm_Chr6g0272491
Source: RNAcentral